This 896-nucleotide long non-coding RNA is filed under the name Mytilus galloprovincialis (Mediterranean mussel). Lineage: Eukaryota; Metazoa; Mollusca; Bivalvia; Mytilida; Mytilidae. The record is from RNAcentral.
UUUUAACCAUUAUGGGCCAGAAAUGUACCCAAGUUUGGAAUAGCACAUGCCAUGGCAUUAGGGGUAAGUUGUUUAAAUAACUAUUUUAUGCCUCGUUCACUGGUACAUUUAAUUCGAAUCGAAUGCGAAUCAAAUUUGCUAAUUGCUUUUACACACCCCACUUUUUUAAUUUGAAUUGAUUCGAAGUGGCUAUAUCGCAUUAUCUAAUUCGCAUUAGAAAAUGCAUUUUCGUUAAUACGAAUUAAAAGUUAAAGUCUUUUGGACAGUAAAGUGAAUUUGACGGGCUUUGCAAAUAGAAUUUGGACGUAAAAUGUUUCAAACGCGAAUUAAACUUAUUUGAAUCAGUUAAUGUGAAUCAAAUUCGAAUUAAGUGUGAACUUAGUAUAGAAAAAAUAUAUAUUUCUCCUCUUUGUGUCAGGAUUAAAAAAAAAAAUUAUUUGAUUAUUUUCUAUACUUUUUUUUUACCAAUUAUGAGUUUGAAAUUUUAAUGGAUUUUAAUGCAUUAUUUUAAAUUCUCAGCACCACAGUGGAUGAUUAAAACUUAACAAUUUGGUAAAAAAGUUAUUUUUUUUUAUAUUUUAUAUCGGUAGUGAUUGUACAGCAAGUAGAAAUCAUGAGACAUUAUUUGUAUUUUACUUAUUUUACUUCAGCUUGGACCAUGGUUAGCCGUAGAAGUACCAGACUUAAUACAAAAGGGAAUAAUUACUCACAAGGACAAUUUAACAAUAGGUGCUGCUUCUUGAUAUAUGUAAUUGUAGUAUACAAAUUUUGAAUAUUCAUGUUAUAGUUAUACACAAGAUUCCAGUCAUUUCUAUCAUAUUCUAUAUUGUUAUAAACUACAUCAAAUGUUAAUAUAAAUACUAGUCUCUUUGCCUUUUAAUUUAGGAAACUUUUAA